Molecule: unclassified non-coding RNA, 430 nt
Filed under: soil metagenome
Description: partial contains 5.8S ribosomal RNA, internal transcribed spacer 2, and large subunit ribosomal RNA
Rfam family: 5.8S ribosomal RNA (bases 1-120)
Source: RNAcentral
GAUGAAGAACGUAGCGAAAUGCGAUAAGUAAUGUGAAUUGCAGAAUUCAGUGAAUCAUCGAAUCUUUGAACGCAUAUUGCGCUCUCUGGUAUUCCGGAGAGCAUGCUUGUUUGAGUAUCAGUAAACACCUCAACUCCCUUUUCUUUUUUGAAAUGGGAGCUGGACUUGAGUGAUCCCAACGCUUUUCUCACCGGAAAGUGGCGGGUUACUUGAAAUGCAGGUGCAGCUGGACUUUUCUCUGAGCUAUAAGCAUAUCUAUUUAGUCUGCCUAAAAACAGAUUAUUACCUUUGCUGCAGCUAACAUAAAGGAGAUUAGUUCUUGUGCUGACUGAUGCAGGAUUCACAGAGACAGCUUCGGCUGACUUUGUAAACUCGAUCUCAAAUCAAGUAAGACUACCCGCUGAACUUAAGCAUAUCAAUAAGCGGAGGA